AAACGCCCUGUGCGGACCCGCAUGCAGGGUGUUGUGGGGAGGGCUGGCUAGAUACCAGUCCUUACCCGAU
Molecule: non-coding RNA, 70 nt
Organism: Chromatiales bacterium (ex Bugula neritina AB1)
Lineage: Bacteria; Pseudomonadati; Pseudomonadota; Gammaproteobacteria; Chromatiales
Source: Rfam